This 73-nucleotide transfer RNA is filed under the name Octopus sinensis (East Asian common octopus). RNAcentral's name for it is "tRNA-Lys". It matches the Rfam family "tRNA". Rfam says of the family: Transfer RNA (tRNA) molecules are approximately 80 nucleotides in length. Their secondary structure includes four short double-helical elements and three loops (D, anti-codon, and T loops). Lineage: Eukaryota; Metazoa; Mollusca; Cephalopoda; Octopoda; Octopodidae. The record is from RNAcentral.
GCCCGCAUAGCUCAGUCGGUAGAGCAUCAGACUUUUAAUCUGAGGGUCGCGGGUUCAAGUCCCGCUGCGGGCG